GUUGGGCUUUGCGGAGGCUUACUUAGCUCUUAUCAUAUAUUCAUAAACCAUGCAUCAUACUUCAAAUGCAUAUACCAUUAUCCCUACGACUCAAACAACUUUUUUAGAGCCUACCAUUGAAAUGUCCAAGCUAGCUAUGCUCUUACCUUGCUUAGCUCUAAAGAUGAGCGAGAUGGGUGACCACUUCAAUGUAGCAAGCAUCAUGCAAAAUAACACGCAUGCACGACAUAUGUACUGUGGCUUGCAUCUGUCACACCAUCCAAUUACCACCAUAUCAUUGACCAAGUAUGUAACAAACAAUUCAACUCAGGUGGACGGUCAUGAAGCACCAAACAUCCAAUAGAAAAGAGAGGAUAAACUCAAUCACAACCUGAUGUAGAACAAAUAAAGAACAAGGAGAAAUCAAGGACCAAUCCU
RNAcentral lists this unclassified non-coding RNA (417 nucleotides) under Hevea brasiliensis (rubber tree). Lineage: Eukaryota; Viridiplantae; Streptophyta; Magnoliopsida; Malpighiales; Euphorbiaceae. The record is from RNAcentral.